Long non-coding RNA from Symphalangus syndactylus (siamang), 303 nucleotides. RefSeq lists it as uncharacterized. The record is from RefSeq and is a predicted model, not a curated record. Lineage: Eukaryota; Metazoa; Chordata; Mammalia; Primates; Hylobatidae.
GUUGUCCUGUCUUGCUCUUCUCUGUUCUCCAUAGGUCAUGCUGUUUCCCUGAUGAAUCAUAGUGUGUCAGCAUGUCUGUUCCAGUUGAAGAACUAGUGUCCACUCAUCACUCUUCCUUUUCUCGGAGCCAGGCGGGCAGAUCAGAAGGAAUAGAACACUCACUUUUGCAAGAGAACUUCACCUCUUUUUUCAAGGUAUUGAUCACCAAAGCUCUACCUAAUAAAGCUGGCACACAAUUUUCCUUCUAAAAAUCUACUUCCUAGGGAAAACAACCUGCAAAAUCUGCAAAUCUUCAGACCGGUG